Dicentrarchus labrax (European seabass) is the source of this 68-nucleotide small nucleolar RNA. The record is from Ensembl. Lineage: Eukaryota; Metazoa; Chordata; Actinopteri; Moronidae.
UUUCUAUGAAGAUACCUUGUCCAGUUCUGCUACUGAAUGCAAGUGGUGAUAAUGAUGACUCUGAGAAA